UGGAUGAUAAUUUUACAUAUCAUCGUCUAGUGGAAGGAGCACAAAAGAAGAAAAUUUUUAAAUAAAGAUCUUACGACAAAAGUAUGCAUCUCUUUCUUUUAACGGAUAUGUGAGAUCGAGAAUCACCUUCUAGCAAUGCUAAAAUAGGGCAGAUUAUUGUUCAUGCAAUUUAAGGAUACCUAAUAUAACAGAUUGGGAUACUAAGGAAUAAUUUUCAGAAGUUUACAUAAUUUCGAGCUUAAAAUGUUCUAAGAUGGCUUGAGGGCUAAUCUCUUAUUAGGAAAGAAGGCU
Molecule: long non-coding RNA, 291 nt
Filed under: Phoenix dactylifera (date palm)
Lineage: Eukaryota; Viridiplantae; Streptophyta; Magnoliopsida; Arecales; Arecaceae
Description: long non-coding RNA (PDAC_LNC018144)
Source: RNAcentral